Small nucleolar RNA from Fukomys damarensis (Damara mole-rat), 134 nucleotides. Its record names the gene SNORA71. It matches the Rfam family "Small nucleolar RNA SNORA71". From Rfam's summary of the family: The members of this family belong to the H/ACA class of snoRNAs which bind a number of proteins (including dyskerin, Gar1p and Nop10p) to form snoRNP complexes. The record is from Ensembl. Lineage: Eukaryota; Metazoa; Chordata; Mammalia; Rodentia; Bathyergidae.
CCCUGUAUUCGAAAGUGAUUGUGGGCUGCCUGUGCCCUGGUCAUUGAUACUGCAGGAAAAGGAGCUGCUGAAAGCCUUUCCCCGUGUUUGGAGAGCUGGCUCCUGUCCCUUCCAAACUCUGGAGCUUUCUCACA